This 1296-nucleotide long non-coding RNA is filed under the name Mytilus galloprovincialis (Mediterranean mussel). Lineage: Eukaryota; Metazoa; Mollusca; Bivalvia; Mytilida; Mytilidae. The record is from RNAcentral.
GUUUCUUUUGUUUGUUUUAUUUGAUAAAAGACAUAACAAUACACGAUGUAAAUUGACAUGGAAAACAUACAUAUCUCAAUCAAUAAGAAAUCAAAUAGUAUUUCAUGAACACAGAUUGUUUUAGGGGGGAUCACAAUUACAACAGUUUUUCAUGACAAUCAAUGUUUUGAGUUGUUCAGUCUGUGACCAAUUUGACAUUUCUGAAUUUAUUAUAGUGAUUAUUUUUCAAGUAGAAGUACUAGUAGUUAUUGAAAAUUUAUUAACAUAUUGAACUUUGUAUGGAGCUUACAUGAAGCAAAUUAGUAAAAACAAGAAUGUGUCCAAAGUACACGGAUGCCCCACUCCCACUAUCAUUUUCCAUGUUCAAUGGACUGUGAAAUUGGAUAAAAAAUAUAAUUAGGCAUUAAAAUUAGAAAGAUAAUAUCAUUGGGAACAUUUGUACUAAGUUUCAAGUUGAUUGGACUUCAACUUCAUCAAAAACUACCUUGACCAAAAACUUUAACCUGAAACAUGCACUUUCAUUUUCUAUGUUCAGUGGACCGUGAAAUUGGGGUCAAAAGUUUAAUUUGGCUUUAAAAUUAGAAAGAUCAUAUCAUAAGGAAAAUGUGUACUAAGUUUCAAGUUGAUUGGACUUCAACUUCAUCAAAAACUAACUUGACCAAAAACUUUAACCUGAAGCAGGACAGACGGACGAAAGAACGAACAGACAGACGGACGAACGAACGAACGAACGGACGCACAGACCAGAAAACAUAAUGCCCCUCUACUAUCGUAGGUGGGGCAUAAAAAUGAAACCAGCAAACAAUAUUGUAAUGUCAUCAAUUUAGGGUCCAACUGAAUUGUCUUUAAAUUAUUGAAAAUUGUUCUACCAUUCCGUCAAGGCAGGAAAUUAGUUUCUUCUUAAAGAGAACCAUCUCCAGAUAUAAUCUUAUAUUAUAUCAUGUUUUCGUGUGUGUUAGUCUUUGAAGGAUUUUAAAAAGAAAGUUAUUCAUAAGGAAUGAAAAAUUGAUAUUUGAAACUAAUUUUGAGAGUGAAGUUAUAGUUUCUUCUGCGAAAUGGUACAGAAACAUUGAAAUAAGAUGUAUACUUGCAGAUCAAAUUUACUGGAUUACCUCCCUUAAUUUAUUGGAAAAAGAAUGCUUUUGAUGAAGUAUAGUGAAGAAUCAUGACACUAUACAGGCUGUAAACUAAGAGUUCAAUAUCGAACAUUUAUCUAUUUAUUGCUUUCAUUCAAAUAAAUCUAUAAAAUAUGCUACAAUUAUUCAUGUCUAUUCAAUGAGUUCAUUUAUUUUUUUU